UCCCGACCAAUCUCUCAGCACCUCCAGCUUUGACGUCUUUACCGACAGCCAACCAAACUCCUGCGAGUCCGGUCCACGCCUUCGCGCCCAUCAUUCAUCCCACAGAGGCGUCCGGCGUCCAAUCGCCAGCCGUGCCCAGAAGGACGGGCGGAGGAGCCAAUCAGGUUUGUUUUUGGUACAGUGAGGAAAUGAAGAUCUGGCCAAACUCCAUCUAGUAGAAGAAAGACUCAAGUGCAGCUCUGGUGCUAAAUAAGCGUGAUAACUGAGAUGGACCGCACUGCU
Long non-coding RNA from Trichomycterus rosablanca, 282 nucleotides. RefSeq lists it as uncharacterized. The transcript has 3 exons. The record is from RefSeq and is a predicted model, not a curated record. Lineage: Eukaryota; Metazoa; Chordata; Actinopteri; Siluriformes; Trichomycteridae.